Molecule: long non-coding RNA, 239 nt
Filed under: Parus major (Great Tit)
Lineage: Eukaryota; Metazoa; Chordata; Aves; Passeriformes; Paridae
Description: lncRNA (ENSPMJG00000018479.1)
Source: RNAcentral
ACGAGACCUACAGUGAUUAUUAUUGAAAGAUCUUCAUUGAAGGCAUUACUAGAAGUUGCACAUUAAAGAGCAAAUCCAACUUCCAGCUGUUCCCAUAAGGAAAUACAUUGAAACCCUCAUGUUGAAAAUUUGUGGAGGUUUAGAUGAUAGAAAUGAAAGGCACCUUGUCCAUGCACCAGAGGAGCUCACAAUGCUUUACUGGAAACUGCAGAUGGAGGCAGAUUGUUGUGCAGUGCUGG